Aedes albopictus (Asian tiger mosquito) is the source of this 1264-nucleotide long non-coding RNA. RefSeq lists it as uncharacterized. The record is from RefSeq and is a predicted model, not a curated record. The transcript is spliced from 3 exons. Lineage: Eukaryota; Metazoa; Arthropoda; Insecta; Diptera; Culicidae.
GGAGUUCGAUUUGAAUAGGUCGUAAGUAACAAAAUUUAGGAAAUUAAGUUUAUUGUUUUGAACGAUAGAUUGUAUACUCUUUGAUGCGUGAAAAAAAUUUGGUGUCGAUAGUUUAUCCCGAUUUUUUUCAAAAAAGUUUAAACAUUUCGACCUAACCGACAACAUUAUUUUUACGCUGAAUCCUGUCCAUUCGACCUAAUGUCGGAAAAUGGUCGUAAUGUAAAAAAAAUACCUAAAUAUGAAAAAGUGUGCAUUCGACCUUAUGUCAGCAGAAGGUCUUAUGGAACAGAAGCUGUCAAACUCAAGAAAUUUGUUCUUACGACUUUUUGUUGGCAUUGAUUUUUAAAGAUUUUUGCUUAGAAUUAUUGGAAUAUCUGUACAUAAUUCCGUGAAUAGAGUGCGAAUAUAUUGAACUAGUAGUCAGAGAAUACGCAGCAAGGUGCAUGUUGUUGAGUAUUCCUCAGCGGAAAACUGGAAUCAUUUCAAAAAUGAUCUCGGAACCGUGUAGCUCGGUAGCCCUACAAUUAAUUCUAGGUCGGAAUAAUGUUAUCGAUCGCGAACUGUAUAAGCACUUUCAAUGCAUGCAGCCUGCCCCAAUCUCACAAACCGCAGGAAAGCACAGAAGAGCUGGAACUGCUGUAUUAUGAUUAGCUCUCCACCACCAAAUAUUGUCCAUUGCAAGAAACGAAAAAUGUAGCCAUAUCCGACUAUGCCUCGGAGUCGGACUAUCCAUAGCAGUUGUCAGUUCAGAGAAGUAUUUAGCUAUAAAGGUUUUGUGUUCAUAAUCACACAUGGCGAAGGCCCACAAGGAACCCUUCAACGCUGUCCAGGUCUUCGGACGCAAGAUUAUCGCGACCACCGUUGGGAACUGCAAGCGAGGAAAAGGUCUGCUGCGAGUGAACGACUGCUAGCUGGACCAGAUCGAGCCCAAGGUUCUACAGUAUAAGCUCCAGGAGCCGCUUCUGCUGCUCGGUAAGGAAAAUUUCGCCAGCGUCGACAUCCGGGUCCGCGUCUUUAGUUGUGGUUAUGUCGCCCAAAUCUACGCCAUCCGCCAGGCCAUCGCCAUCUGGUUUCCUUCUAUCAGAAAUAUGUGGAUUAAGGCUCCCGCAAGAAAUUGUAGGACAAUCUGAUCCAGUUCAACCGUUCUGCUGGUUGCCAAGUUCGAAGGUCCAGGUGCCCGUGAUGAUUAGAAAUCGUACCGUUAAGCUCUCUGGUGCUGUUACGGUUCUUGUAUAACGGCUCUGCUGGUAGUAGUCUGAUAAAG